Molecule: transfer RNA, 76 nt
Filed under: Propylenella binzhouense
Lineage: Bacteria; Pseudomonadati; Pseudomonadota; Alphaproteobacteria; Hyphomicrobiales; Propylenellaceae
Also listed under: 2 other names
Description: tRNA-Thr
Rfam family: tRNA
About the family: Transfer RNA (tRNA) molecules are approximately 80 nucleotides in length. Their secondary structure includes four short double-helical elements and three loops (D, anti-codon, and T loops). Further hydrogen bonds mediate the characteristic L-shaped molecular structure. tRNAs have two regions of fundamental functional importance: the anti-codon, which is responsible for specific mRNA codon recognition, and the 3' end, to which the tRNAs corresponding amino acid is attached (by aminoacyl-tRNA synthetases). tRNAs cope with the degeneracy of the genetic code in two manners: having more than one tRNA (with a specific anti-codon) for a particular amino acid; and 'wobble' base-pairing, i.e. permitting non-standard base-pairing at the 3rd anti-codon position.
Source: RNAcentral
GCCGCAUUAGCUCAGUCGGUAGAGCAUCGCAUUCGUAAUGCGAGGGUCGCUGGUUCGAGUCCGGCAUGCGGCACCA